This 477-nucleotide ribosomal RNA is filed under the name uncultured bacterium. RNAcentral describes it as "bacterial SSU rRNA". It matches the Rfam family "Bacterial small subunit ribosomal RNA", at positions 15 to 507 of the family's 1533-position model. The record is from RNAcentral.
GAUCAUGGCUCAGAAUCAACGCUGGCGGCGUGCCUCAGACAUGCAAGUCGAACGAUUAAAGCUCUCUUCGGAGAGUGUAUAGAGUGGCGCACGGGUGAGUAACACGUAAGUAAUCUACCCUCGAGUGGGGAAUAACAACCGGAAACGGUUGCUAAUACCGCAUAAUGCAGCGGCACCGCAAGGUGACAGUUGUUAAAGAUUUAUCGCUUGAGGAGGAGCUUGCGGCAGAUUAGCUAGUUGUAGGGUAACGGCUUACCAAGGCUACGAUCUGUAACCAGUCUAAGAGGACGGUCGGUCCCACUGACACUGAAUAACGGGUCAGACUCCUACGGGAGGCAGCAGUCGGGAAUUUUGGGCAAUGGGCGAAAGCCUGACCCAGCAACGCCGCGUGAAGGAUGAAGUAUUUCGGUAUGUAAACUUCGAAAGAAUAGGAAGAAUUAAUGACGGUACUAUUUAUAAGGUCCGGCUAACUACGUG